AAAAAGGAAAAGAAAAAACCUCCCCUCCCUUUAGUCUCCCCUCCAGUCUCUAAUCUCAUCUGUGAAAAAGAACUGUACUUUACUGUCCACAAAACAGUUCAUUUUCAAAGUGAGAGAAGAAUUGCUCUGUGAGGAGAGCCAUCAGUAACUGGGGUUCAUGAAUUCCUGCUUGUUUAUAGAAAGCAGUGGCUGAGGAUAGACACUUUGAAACCACCUGUGAAAGAAUUAAAGACCAAGGGGGGCAAAACCCCCAUCACAAACAGAAUCUCACUGAUCAAGUGUGAAAGAAAAGGAAGAAAGAAAAAGCCAAGUAGAUCUUUGCAGGCAACCACUAGAUGGACACAGAAUUCAAAAACAUUCUUUAGUGAGAUCAAGGAUGGCAGGCUUUGAAGCCUGGAGGGCUGGCGAGUCUCAGCACCGGCCUGGCCGUGGCAAUCCCCGCACCGACGCGCCCACAGUCUUGCACUUGCUGGAGUAAAGCAUUUAAAUUGGAACAAUGUCAAAUUUCACAGCUAUCUUAUGUCCAGUGACCUUACGGGCCCCCGAGGGAAAGACAGAUAAAAAAUGAUUGUUCUCAACACGUUCCUGAAAGCGAAGAAGUCACACAGGCAACCUUGAGAAACAACUUUUCAAAAUGAAAACACCCACAAACUCUUGCUUGCGGGGUGGCAAGCAAAUUGUGCUUAUUUAUCUAUUCAUUUAUUUAUUCUCUUUACUGAGGACUCACAGUGUGUCACCCUCUUUACAGAACACCUGCAGAGAUCAAGUUCCAUCACCAUGGCACGUAAAUUUGCGAGGAUGAUGUUAUUGUGGGAAAAGAGAAGAUAACAACUCUUCUGAAUUAUUUAAUCAAUCUGGAACAGGUUUUAUUGUUGUUGUAAAGGAAGUGAGACAUAACUUGUGUCUGACCAAGAAAACCAAAAAAACAGAAGAGGACAAAGAUGAGAUCUCAAACCUCUGCUGUGUGUUUAGGUGGAUACACGUACCAAUUACAAAUGAAAGAAUCUUUGAUCACCGGAGUCGUUGGUGUGUGCUGAGUAAAAUCCAUCCCAAAUCCAAAUAUAUUUGUAGUGUGAGAUGAAGAUGUGGAGGUCACGAGAAAGCAAUUUUGUUAAUCACUUUAGCACCAAUUCUUGCAUCCCUGGCAAUACUCAGAACUGCCUCCAUCCAAGUCUUUGAUGUGGGAAAGAAACACACACACUCUUUCACAUGUAAUCUGAAAACAAUUCACCUCUUGCCAAUGAAUGCACAGCACUCCACUUUAAUAGAGAGCAAGUUCUGUGGAGGUUUCUAAUCCUUUCUGCCAAAGAAGAGAAGAGAGAGAAUCACUCAGGUAGCCCAACCUCAUUCAGGAGUUAAAAUCACUUGGAAUGUUUUGUGGUGUGUUGGGGGCUUUUUAAAAAAUAUCACUUGCUGAAGAUUACGGCUCUCAGGGGAAAUCAAAACAACUCAAGAUCAAAAAAAUAAAUAAAAAAUAAAAAUAAAAAAAGAGUCCCCAUCCCCAACUCAAACAGGAUAUUCUUCUCAACUCAGAUAACUCUUGAUCUAAGUGUAUUACAAGAAACCUGCUUUAAUCCCUCAAAGCAAUGGUGUUAUAGAUAAGUAGCGGUAACUGAGGUGGCUUAAAUUCCAGAAAUGUACAAAAGAUUUGGUUGGAAACAAAACUAAAGAAGAAAGCAAGCUCAAUCUGCAUUGCUGUGACUUAAGAGGUAAAUUUAGGGCAGUAAAAAUGCAAAGAAUGACCCGUAAAAAAGAAAUAGCCAUAAAGUCCAGAAUUGUCCUAAUGGUCCCACAGGCUGCUUUCAGCAUGUGUCUGAAUGUGUAUGUGCUUUAGGGGUGUGUUUGUGGAAGUAUUUUAAGAAAGUGAAAUUGUUUUACUGAUUUCAGGAUCUGACAGUUCAUUUGAAAAUUUCUUUAUACAUUUUACUGUGAUAUUACAACAUUCUGAAACUGUGUUUCACAAAUGAUUUUCUUGCUCUUUAUAUUUUCUUUCUCUUUAUACUUUUGGUUGAACUCCAGUAUUUUCUUCCUAUUUAGUCCCUUUUCUUUGACGUAUCACUGCUCACUUAAAUGCAGUGGGAUGGACUUUAUGGUUUUUCCUUCUGUCAGUAAUUAAACAUAUUUUCACAGUCUGGGUAUUCGUUUUGAUCUAUCUUCUGACAUCCCAGUGAACAGAUUGCACAUCCCCCCCCCCCCCCCCGCUUGUCAACUAUAGCUCUCUAUUGCAAAAUAAUGGCAAUUUCUUUCAUUUUGGCCUCUCCCAUUUGCCCAAAACAUGCUUGAAAAUGCUCUUUCACUUUUUUAAGAGUGCCCCUUUUUUAGAGGUAAAGCUUGUUAUUUGAUAGAUGAUACAUACAAAUAGUUAAUAGUUAAAAAUUCAAAAGGUAUAAAAUAGCAUGGCACCCAGUUCCCCUUCUUAGAAGCAGACCUUGGUGCUAGGUUUUUGUGUAUCUCUCCAGAGAUCUUUGGCGUGUAUCUCUCCAGAGAUCUUUGGCGU
Molecule: long non-coding RNA, 2497 nt
Organism: Acinonyx jubatus (cheetah)
Lineage: Eukaryota; Metazoa; Chordata; Mammalia; Carnivora; Felidae
Exons: 3
Source: RefSeq, a predicted model, not a curated record